CAGUCGCCGCGGGAAUACAGAGGGUGCGAGCGUUAAUCGGAUUUACUGGGCGUAAAGCGUGCGUAGGCGGCUAAUUGAGUCGGAUGUGAAAUCCCCGAGCUUAACUUGGGAACUGCAUCCAAAACUGGUGAGCUAGAGUACGGUAGAGGGUAGUGGAAUUUCCUGUGUAGCGGUGAAAUGCGUAGAUAUAGGAAGGAACACCAGUGGCGAAGGCGACUACCUGGACUGAUACUGACACUGAGGUGCGAAAGCGUGGGGAGCAAACAGGAUUAGAUACCCGCGUAGUCCCUGUCUCUUAUAC
Molecule: ribosomal RNA, 301 nt
Filed under: uncultured bacterium
Lineage: Bacteria
Description: partial 16S ribosomal RNA
Rfam family: Bacterial small subunit ribosomal RNA
Source: RNAcentral